Molecule: ribosomal RNA, 244 nt
Filed under: uncultured Gardnerella sp.
Lineage: Bacteria; Bacillati; Actinomycetota; Actinomycetes; Bifidobacteriales; Bifidobacteriaceae
Description: partial 16S ribosomal RNA
Rfam family: Bacterial small subunit ribosomal RNA
Source: RNAcentral
UAAUGCGUGACCAACCUGCCCCAUGCUCCAGAAUAGCUCUUGGAAACGGGUGGUAAUGCUGGAUGCUCCAACUUGACGCAUGUCUUGUUGGGAAAGUGUUUAGUGGCAUGGGAUGGGGUCGCGUCCUAUCAGCUUGUAGGCGGGGUAAUGGCCCACCUAGGCUUCGACGGGUAGCCGGCCUGAGAGGGCGGACGGCCACAUUGGGACUGAGAUACGGCCCAGACUCCUACGGGAGGCAGCAGGU